Molecule: ribosomal RNA, 407 nt
Filed under: uncultured bacterium
Lineage: Bacteria
Description: partial 16S ribosomal RNA
Rfam family: Bacterial small subunit ribosomal RNA
Source: RNAcentral
AUUGAACGCUGGCGGCAGGCCUUACACAUGCAAGUCGAGCGGAGCGGCGGACGGGUGCGUGAUGCCUAGGUAUCUGCCCGGGCGCGGGGGAUAACGUCCGGAAACGGGAGCUAAUACCGCAUACUCUCAGCUUAGCCUCGGUCGGAUUAGCUAGUUGGUGGGGUAAAGGCCUACCAAGGCGACGAUCCGUAACUGGGCUGAGAGGAUGAUCAGUCACACUGGAACUGAGACACGGGCCAGACUCCUACGGGAGGCAGCAGUGGGGAAUAUUGGACAAUGGGCGAAAGCCUGAUCCAGCCAUGCCGCGUGUGUGAAGAAGGUCUUCGGAUUGUAAAGCACUUUAAGUUGGGAGGCGUUACCAACAGAAUAAGCACCGGCUAACUACGUGCCAGCAGCCGCGGUAAUUC